Paramisgurnus dabryanus is the source of this 1302-nucleotide non-coding RNA. NCBI's taxonomy places the organism in Eukaryota, Metazoa, Chordata, Actinopteri, Cypriniformes, Cobitidae. The record is from RefSeq and is a predicted model, not a curated record.
UUAGCAGUACAUUACUGUAAAAAUCCACAGUACUAUACUGUAUGUGUACAUUACAGUACAGUACUGCAGUUCAUAAUGCAUUCUGGGUAAAUUUGUUUGAGCGGGAAAAUUUUACAGUAUAUUUUGGUCUUGAUGUAACCUUGCUGUAGCCAUUGCUGUAAUGUGCCAGGUGUACUUGCAAUAAUCAGAGAAAGUGCGCCAACGUCAAAUCACACAGAGGGAGAGAGAGCACAACUCCUGGCUGCAGCUGAAGGAGGACGAUUGAUUUCUGGCAGUUCGUCUUACCAUUGCUUGUAAGCUGGAUUGGGUAAGAUGGAUCAUCUUUAAAGGCACCAGGAGUUAAGGCAGAUGUGGAGGCACAACGGGUGAUACCAGACACACACCAAGCACAUUAUGUUUGGACAUUCAAUCAUGACAUGAUCCAGGUGGAUGCUGUCCAUUGAGGAAAGAGUUUGUUCAGCGGUUUCUGGAUAGAAUUAAUUCCAAAGAUGGGAAAAAGUGCACAUCCAGACAAGGAGCAAGCAAAAAGACAAGGAACUUGGUGCAGAGAAAAGCUGUGGCCAUUAACCCCCAUGUAAACAGCUUCAUGCAGUCCCUGAUUGAGUUCGAAUGGACGACUUCAAAGUAAAGGCCACUGUGGUCUGUCUGCCAGUUUAAUGCAUUUAUUUUUAGUGUUAAAUGAAAUUCAAGUAGAAUAUUUAAAACUAUGGGCCAGUGUUGUUUUUACCACAGUGAAAUGUUACCUUUUAGUCGAUGAUGGACUUUAAACUGAAAACUUCAAACUAUGGAACAGUGUUCUAUUUGCCAGAGUUAAAUAUGUUACAGCAGGGGUCUCCAAACUUGUUUAUACUUGUUGAUUUUAUUUUAUGUUACUUGAUUAUAUGUUUAUUAUUGUUUAAAAUCUUGUUUUAAAUAUGUUUGUUUCAAUUAAAUGUUUUUUUUAAUAAAAUUUUGAUACAAACAUUGCUUGGAUUGCCUUUUAAUUCAUUAUGUUUUAAUUUAGCAUUUUUACCAUAUUAAUAACUAUAGAUUUAAACCUAAAUCUCUAGCUAUUUUAUAUAAUAUUAUUGUAUUAACUGUAAUAAGUAAUAAAUAGUAUUUAUGGGUCAAUAUAGACAUUACAGUAAAUUACUGUAAAAAUAGACUACUGUAAUAAAAUAUUGUAAAAUUACAGUACAGUACUGCUUUGUAACUAUACAGUACUAGUUUGUGUACUGUAAAAUGGUAUUACAGUACAGUACUGUAAAACCAAAAUACAGUAACUUACUGGCAACCGUGCUGCCAGUACCGUACUGUAAAAAU